CCCUUAGAUGUUCUGGGCUGCACGCGCGCUACACUGAUGCGCUCAACGAGUUUAUAACCUUGUCCGGCAGGAUUGGGUAAUCUUUUUAAAACGCAUCGUGAUGGGGAUAGAUUAUUGCAAUUAUUAAUCUUCAACGAGGAAUUCCUAGUAAGCGCGAGUCAUCAGCUCGUGCUGAUUACGUCCCUGCCCUUUGUACACACCGCCCGUCGCUCCUACCGAUUGAAUGCUCAGGUGAGCCAUUCGGACUUUCAUCAUGCUGGUUUCCAGUUUUGAUGAAGGAAAGUCUUGCGAACCUUAUCAUUUAGAGGAAGGAGAAGUCGUAACA
Molecule: ribosomal RNA, 325 nt
Filed under: uncultured eukaryote
Lineage: Eukaryota
Description: partial 18S ribosomal RNA
Rfam family: Eukaryotic small subunit ribosomal RNA
Source: RNAcentral